CGGGUACUCGAGUGGCGAACGGGUGAGUAACACGUGGGUGAUCUGCCCUUCACUUCGGGAUAAGCCUGGGAAACUUGGUCUAAUACUGGAUAGGACCAUCGUUUAGUGUCUGUGGUGGAAAGUUUUUUCGGUGGAGGAUGAGCUCGCGGCCUAUCAGCUUGUUGGUGGGGUAAUGGCCUACCAAGGCGACGACGGGUAGCCGGCCUGAGAGGGUGGACGGCCACAUUGGGACUGAGACACGGCCCAG
This 247-nucleotide ribosomal RNA is filed under the name uncultured Actinomycetales bacterium. RNAcentral describes it as "partial 16S ribosomal RNA". It matches the Rfam family "Bacterial small subunit ribosomal RNA", at positions 84 to 334 of the family's 1533-position model. Lineage: Bacteria; Bacillati; Actinomycetota; Actinomycetes; Actinomycetales. The record is from RNAcentral.